Molecule: ribosomal RNA, 480 nt
Filed under: uncultured bacterium
Lineage: Bacteria
Description: partial 16S ribosomal RNA
Rfam family: Bacterial small subunit ribosomal RNA
Source: RNAcentral
GACGAACGCUGGCGGCGUGCUUAACACAUGCAAGUCGAACGGUAAGGCCCCUUCGGGGGUACACGAGUGGCGAACGGGUGAGUAACACGUGGGUAAUCUGCCCUGCACUUCGGGAUAAGCCUGGGAAACCGGGUCUAAUACCGGAUAUGAGCUCUCAACGCAUGGCGGGGGGUGGAAAGCUUUUUCGGUGCAGGAUGAGCCCGCGGCCGAUCAGCUUGUUGGUGGGGUAAUGGCCUACCAAGGCGACGACGGGUAGCCGGCCUGAGAGGGUGAUCGGCCACACUGGGACUGAGACACGGCCCAGACUCCUACGGGAGGCAGCAGUGGGGAAUAUUGCACAAUGGGCGGAAGCCUGAUGCAGCGACGCCGCGUGGGGGAUGACGGUCUUCGGAUUGUAAACCCCUUUCAGUAGGGACGAAGCGCAAGUGACGGUACCUGCAGAAGAAGCACCGGCCAACUACGUGCCAGCAGCCGCGGUAA